RNAcentral lists this long non-coding RNA (1181 nucleotides) under Canis lupus familiaris (dog). Its description in RNAcentral is "lncRNA (ENSCAFG00000055107.1)". The record is from RNAcentral. Lineage: Eukaryota; Metazoa; Chordata; Mammalia; Carnivora; Canidae.
UAAGGUUGCAAAAUAAACUGAUAUGACAAGCUCAUAUUUCAUUUAUUCUGUCUAGAAAUGAAACACCAUCUAAAAACUGCCAGAGCAAGGUCAAUGCUUUCCUAUGAAGUCCUUAAGCAGAAAACUUAUCUUGUGACAAAUAUUUGGAUGGUACUUUCACGGGAAUUGUGAUAUGUACUUUCUCUGACAGAUCACACUUGGGCCAGGCAGCAGAACCCACAGAAGCACCCCUGGCUGCUUUUGUAAGGAUCCUUUCCCUGAGAAGAGUUUUUUGUGUUUUGAUGAGGAUAAGGAGUAAAGUGCUAGUGAUUGAAAAGUGUGCCUUUCCUGCAGAAUUUCACGUCCAUCUGACUCUAGAAGUUCAAGAAAUGAAAACAAAUCAAUUGUUGACCUCAAGUUUUUCCAAUCAAGUCACACUUCAGAUGUCUUAACUCCAGUUUAGCAGCCAAUGGCUCAGAAAGAAAUAUUUUCUCCAGAAUGUUUUGUUCUGGAAAACAGGGUCAUUUAAACACUUGAUAACCCUGCUAAAGACUUAAGACAUUUGCAGCUUAUACACAGAUGAAAGGACUUUCAACCUUCUGAUAUUUAUGACCAUUUCAGCUGCGAAGAGAAGAAUACUUGCUUCAUUAAUUUUUUUUAAAGGAAUGUGUUACUUCACCACUGGGUUAGAAUGAACAUGGAUAUUUUCCCUGUAUUCCGUAAAGCCCUCACCCCUGAUGCUGACUGUGUACAAUCUACUGCUUCUCAAAAGUUAUUCAGCAAUAUACUAGACCUGUACACCACACUGCAAGGAAAGAAAGAUUUAGGUGGCCAAAUGGUUUGAAGACAUUGUGCAUUAUAGUCUCUUUCUCAAGAUUUUGUGUAAUUAAACACACCAAGAAGCAAUGCAGUAAAUAAAUAAACAAAAACCUUGUAGUUUAAUGUGAUAUCUCCCACAUGUCGUAGACCAUGAAAUAUUUUUUUAAAAAGACAUAUUCUGUUUUCACACCACUUUCUACUUUUCUUCCUCAUAAUAAUGUUUGUUCCUCUGUCGAUGGGGCAGAAAAUAAAAGGAAAAUAUCAAUAUAUGCUUAAUAAACUGCCUUAGCAAAUGGCUAUAAUUUCUGUGUGUUCUCGUCAUCUUUAUGUAAAACAGGUGCUGGCUCCAGGAACCACCCCACCCCACACCAUGAGGAACUGUC